GUGCUCGCUUUGGCAGCCCAUAUACUAAAAUUGGGACAAUGCAGAGAAGAAUGGCAUGGCCUCUGUCCAAGGAUGACAAGCAAAUUCAUGAAGCAUUCCGUAUCAAA
Molecule: small nuclear RNA, 107 nt
Organism: Cebus imitator (Panamanian white-faced capuchin)
Lineage: Eukaryota; Metazoa; Chordata; Mammalia; Primates; Cebidae
Source: Ensembl